Molecule: ribosomal RNA, 1383 nt
Filed under: Staphylococcus aureus
Lineage: Bacteria; Bacillati; Bacillota; Bacilli; Caryophanales; Staphylococcaceae
Description: partial 23S ribosomal RNA
Rfam family: Bacterial large subunit ribosomal RNA
Source: RNAcentral
CCGGUACUCAUUAAGGCUGAGCUGUGAUGGGGAGAAGACAUUGUGUCUUCGAGUCGUUGAUUUCACACUGCCGAGAAAAGCCUCUAGAUAGAAAAUAGGUGCCCGUACCGCAAACCGACACAGGUAGUCAAGAUGAGAAUUCUAAGGUGAGCGAGCGAACUCUCGUUAAGGAACUCGGCAAAAUGACCCCGUAACUUCGGGAGAAGGGGUGCUCUUUAGGGUUAACGCCCAGAAGAGCCGCAGUGAAUAGGCCCAAGCGACUGUUUAUCAAAAACACAGGUCUCUGCUAAACCGUAAGGUGAUGUAUAGGGGCUGACGCCUGCCCGGUGCUGGAAGGUUAAGAGGAGUGGUUAGCUUCUGCGAAGCUACGAAUCGAAGCCCCAGUAAACGGCGGCCGUAACUAUAACGGUCCUAAGGUAGCGAAAUUCCUUGUCGGGUAAGUUCCGACCCGCACGAAAGGCGUAACGAUUUGGGCACUGUCUCAACGAGAGACUCGGUGAAAUCAUAGUACCUGUGAAGAUGCAGGUUACCCGCGACAGGACGGAAAGACCCCGUGGAGCUUUACUGUAGCCUGAUAUUGAAAUUCGGCACAGCUUGUACAGGAUAGGUAGGAGCCUUUGAAACGUGAGCGCUAGCUUACGUGGAGGCGCUGGUGGGAUACUACCCUAGCUGUGUUGGCUUUCUAACCCGCACCACUUAUCGUGGUGGGAGACAGUGUCAGGCGGGCAGUUUGACUGGGGCGGUCGCCUCCUAAAAGGUAACGGAGGCGCUCAAAGGUUCCCUCAGAAUGGUUGGAAAUCAUUCAUAGAGUGUAAAGGCAUAAGGGAGCUUGACUGCGAGACCUACAAGUCGAGCAGGGUCGAAAGACGGACUUAGUGAUCCGGUGGUUCCGCAUGGAAGGGCCAUCGCUCAACGGAUAAAAGCUACCCCGGGGAUAACAGGCUUAUCUCCCCCAAGAGUUCACAUCGACGGGGAGGUUUGGCACCUCGAUGUCGGCUCAUCGCAUCCUGGGGCUGUAGUCGGUCCCAAGGGUUGGGCUGUUCGCCCAUUAAAGCGGUACGCGAGCUGGGUUCAGAACGUCGUGAGACAGUUCGGUCCCUAUCCGUCGUGGGCGUAGGAAAUUUGAGAGGAGCUGUCCUUAGUACGAGAGGACCGGGAUGGACAUACCUCUGGUGUACCAGUUGUCGUGCCAACGGCAUAGCUGGGUAGCUAUGUGUGGACGGGAUAAGUGCUGAAAGCAUCUAAGCAUGAAGCCCCCCUCAAGAUGAGAUUUCCCAACUUCGGUUAUAAGAUCCCUCAAAGAUGAUGAGGUUAAUAGGUUCGAGGUGGAAGCAUGGUGACAUGUGGAGCUGAUGAAUACUAAUCGAUCGAAGACUUAAUCAA